This 465-nucleotide ribosomal RNA is filed under the name uncultured Klebsiella sp. Its description in RNAcentral is "bacterial SSU rRNA". It matches the Rfam family "Bacterial small subunit ribosomal RNA", at positions 338 to 795 of the family's 1533-position model. The record is from RNAcentral. Lineage: Bacteria; Pseudomonadati; Pseudomonadota; Gammaproteobacteria; Enterobacterales; Enterobacteriaceae.
CCUACGGGAGGCUGCAGUGGGGAAUAUUGCACAAUGGGCGCAAGCCGGAUGCAGCCAUGCCGCGGGUGUGAAGAAGGCCUUCGGGUUGUAAAGCACUUUCAGCGGGGAGGAAGGCGUUAAGGUUAAUAACCUUGGCGAUUGACGUUACCCGCAGAAGAAGCACCGGCUAACUCCGUGCCAGCAGCCGCGGUAAUACGGAGGGUGCAAGCGUUAAUCGGAAUUACUGGGCGUAAAGCGCACGCAGGCGGUCUGUCAAGUCGGAUGUGAAAUCCCCGGGCUCAACCUGGGAACUGCAUUCGAAACUGGCAGGCUAGAGUCUUGUAGAGGGGGGUAGAAUUCCAGGUGUAGCGGUGAAAUGCGUAGAGAUCUGGAGGAAUACCGGUGGCGAAGGCGGCCCCCUGGACAAAGACUGACGCUCAGGUGCGAAAGCGUGGGGAGCAAACAGGAUUAGAUACCCUAGUAGUC